CAACCCUCGAGCUCCCCUUGGGGAGCACGGUGUUGGGGACCGGCACCAUUACCCCGCCGGCCCCGAAAUGGAGUGGCGGCCCGCCGCGGCGACCUCUGCGUAGUAGCACUACCCCGCACCGGAAACCCGACGUGGCCACGCCGUAAAACAACCCACUUUUGAA
RNAcentral lists this unclassified non-coding RNA (163 nucleotides) under uncultured fungus. RNAcentral's name for it is "sequence contains ITS2". The record is from RNAcentral. Lineage: Eukaryota; Fungi.